RNAcentral lists this long non-coding RNA (537 nucleotides) under Diabrotica virgifera virgifera (western corn rootworm). Its description in RNAcentral is "uncharacterized LOC126889903". The record is from RNAcentral. Lineage: Eukaryota; Metazoa; Arthropoda; Insecta; Coleoptera; Chrysomelidae.
AUCCAACAUAAGAGAAUGAAUAAAAAAACAGAAUGUUCAGAAGACCUGAGGCUAUUGGGAUAAACCGUAAUCGUACCCCCUCCUAACUGCCAAAGUGUCAUGGCCGCCGUCGGGACCUAUUGUGCUGACAUUUACAAUGUUUACAUAUAGAAAAGUUUGUUUUUUUUCUGCUUAUAAUGCCGUUUUCUAAAGAUAUUAGUGAACAAAAUCGAUUUGCUAACAAUAUUUAAUAUAUUUUAAAUGUGCUAAAAUUGGAUUCAACAGCAAAAGUCGCAUAAAUAACAUAUAAAUAACGAAUUUGUUUACCUAUUACAAAUGGGGUUAUGUGGUUGUAACUGUUUAUUUUGGGAAUAAAAUGAAAAUGAUCAAUUAAACGACUGGAAAACUAUAGUGAAGUGAAGAACAUCUUGAAGUUCCAAUGAUGUUUCAAGAUGAGAUAAAUCGAAAUAAUGGUUGUAUGUUAGAAGGACAGAGAAUACGAAGAAAUGUUAUUGCUGCAUACUUAGUGUAGUGAAAUACAAACUUCAAACAUUAUAA